CUAAAUUACUGAUUUAUUUUGACAUUGAGCGAUCAAAUUAAAAAGCAUCGCAACUUAAACUGCAAGAUUAAAAAGAGUUGAUGCUCUCAAUUCAGUCCACGCCUCUGCUUCUCUCUCCCGCGCGCGCGGAAUUUGCAGCAAUCACUCUGGGUUGUGAAGCCAUGAAUAGGCCUGACCAGAAAAAGAUUAAGGAGGUAGAAGGAAUUCCCUUGUGCGUAUGAGUGUGUUUUUGUGUGCAUGAACGGCAUCUGAUAGAAGUAAAACUUUAAACAUGCAUACCUAAGCUGAACAUAGCCAUUCCAAGUCCUCCAUCUGACAAUAGUGUAACUGAAUUUUCAAUUAUUUUAGGCAAUUUUACUGACCACCUGCACAUAAUGACAGUCGUAAUGUGAGACUUACAGUUGAUCUAUGGUGUUCUGGGAUAGUCAAACUCUUUACCACCAAUUGGUUACAACAGCCAAUAGUCUGCAUGAGUUUUGUUUGUAUUACCUGAAAUGUAUGCAUGCCCAUAAAAUGCCAACAAAGGUGGCAUAUGUGUUGGGAUUUCUGAUAAGCUUCUUUCCUACUGUUGAGAUAAUAAUUUUUAUGUUUCUUUUCCUCAGAUCUUUGAUUCCUUCAUCUUUCUCGUCUACAUUCAUUGCUUCUGCUCUUUGUGGACUCUCCACUGCUCCUUCAAAGAAAUGUUCACACUUAUUAAAUCAAAGUAAUUGGCAGAAAAAAGUAGCUCAAUUAGAAUAUUUUCACUGUAGUAACAUUCAUGCAGCAUUAUUUUGUUAUGGCCUUGAAAUUUUGAAAUCUUAGUAAGCAAAGAAAACAUGACAAAUUCAGGUGGCUUUUAGUUCUCUGUUCUUGGGGAAGGGAUUAAAUGGGUGAAACCAAUCUUGCAGAUAAAAUGAAUGGAUUUAGUGAAGUAUCUGUCAUUGACUGGGCUGUUACAUAGGCUGCUUGGCCAAGUAUUUCAAUUGGAGACUUGAUUUUCUGCUUUCAUUCAAAUCUAUGCCUAUUUCUAAUUGUUCUACCUUGUCUUUGUUUGCUCCUUAUAAUGUUUGUUGAUUUACUUUCUUCUAGACUAUAAAGAAUUGACCAAAUUCUUCCAGACUUGUUUGAGUAUUCAUAUGUGUGCAAGUGUAAAUAACAUUGGCGGAGGCAAAACUUAAAGUAGUAGGGCCCAAAAAUUUAGCAAUCUUUAAGACUGAAGAAAUUUGGAAGAUCACUAUUGAUGGAGGGAGCAUAUAAUAGAAGCUAGAUGAGUCUAAAAGUAAAAAUUUAAUUAUUAACAUAAACUCUCCAUGCAUACCUGUUACUUCUGAAGAUGAUGUUGCAUUGAUGGAUUCCUCUGUAGCAUUAAUCUCAAAAAGAACUAACAGAAGGUUGUACCAAAUAAGGCUUUGUAAUACAACUAUUUGGGCCAGGAGGGUUGAUGCUUCUUUCCCAUACAUAGCCUCUAUCAGUGGGAGUCCUAAUAUCAAUGUAUUAGGCAAUGUCGACAAGGAGAGACCCGUUAUCACCCAACUCAGGCUCCCUCUGGAUCUUAUUUUGGCUAUUGCAGCCAGUAUGAUGAGAGCAAGAAACUUUUGAAGGAAAUCAGCAGAUACCAGUUUCAGGUUCAUCUUAUAAGGAUUGUUUGAUGAGAUUACCUUGAAAGAUAAAAGGGGGAUUGAAAAAUUUGCAACAAAUUUGUUGAUGCCGGAACACUGAUCUGGUGUAAAUAGUUUCCACCAUUUUAUCGACAGCAACGCUGCAGUCAUGGCGACAUAGAGGGGGAUUAUCGAUGCAAUAACAUGAUCUUCGAUGGAGGAAUAAAGAAGUGCAUUGCAAGAGAAGGUUUGGAAUCUUGCAAAGUUAGUGAAUCUAUCCGAUCACUCGGCCUAGGUUGCUGUUGAGCGUCGACAGGUGGGCCAUUGGGAUGGUGUAUUUAUCAUUCUCUAAAUUUGAUAACACAUGGAAUUAUUCCGAGGUCAUCUGUCGCAAAAUGGCAUAUACUGUGAGGUAAGGAAACAUAAAAUCAAACACUAUUUGCAAAUUAGGACUAUUUGUAAUGUUUUAUCUUGAUAUUUGUUUCAAAUGUAUCUUUAUAUGUUGGUGUGUUGACAAUAACCAAUUUCGAAGAUUAAAUAUUAUAGGAGAUCUAGGAAAAGUUUAGGUGGUUGAGUGUGGUUUCAAUACGUGUGCUUUUCUCCCUUUUCUUUUUAUAGUGAGUAUUUCAUUUUCUAUCAAUUUGCUCCGCAUGAAAUGUCUUUUGUUAAAAGCAAAAAGUGAGGCCAAAUUUAUACUCGAUUUUUUCUUUUCCAACAAUAAAGAGUAUAUAUAUUUAUCACUUCGAAACCCUAGCUCUAUCUCAUGUUUUGGUGUUUCACCCGUCUUCCAUUUUCAAACGUUUUCGUUAUUUUUAAUUUUUUUUUUUCAAUUUCGAAAAUUUAUGUAUCACUUUAAGGGUAUGCAAUUAUUUUAGCACUUAAUUUCAAUUUUUAAGCUAACUAAAUACUAUUAUCAUGAAUUUAUCUACGUGCACAAUAUCUUCAUUAGUUUUAAUUUUAAAGUGUUCAUGUGAAUUUAAGUAGUUAUUUUUAUUAAUUGUAGAAUGCAUGUGUAUACAUUUCCAUACUUGAUUAUACUAAGAAGUAAGGAAUAUUUUAAUUUUGUCGUCUGACUACCUUUUGUUGAGCUCUCUUUUAUUUCAUGUUAUUACUAGUAUAUAUAGGUACCUAGUUAUCCUAGAAUAUAGCUUAAGAUUAGCAGCUUGGCACAUUUGAUUUCUUUUCGUAAAGGUAUCUCUAUUAGCUAGAGUGACGACUCACCCUCACCUGCCGACCCAUAUAUUUAUAUGUUUUUAUAUACUAUGCGUUAGCGUUACAUCAAUACUAGUACUACAUAAAGUUUGGUUUCAUUUUAAUUAACCAAUAGUAGUACUAUAUAGUUUCCACUAUCUCUGGAUAUUGUAUAUCAAGCUGAUAAUAUUGAAUAAAUCUGGUUUGUUUUUCGAAA
Non-coding RNA from Salvia hispanica, 2985 nucleotides. Lineage: Eukaryota; Viridiplantae; Streptophyta; Magnoliopsida; Lamiales; Lamiaceae. The record is from RefSeq and is a predicted model, not a curated record.